Molecule: ribosomal RNA, 510 nt
Filed under: uncultured organism
Description: SSU rRNA
Rfam family: Bacterial small subunit ribosomal RNA
Source: RNAcentral
GAAUGCUGGCGGCGUGCCUAAUACAUGCAAGUCGAGCGGUAACAGGGGGCUCCACCGUGUUCUUGACACACCUAGCGCUAUGUUCGUAGGUAGUGAAACUUCGAGAGCACAGUGGAGCCCCGCUGACGAGCGGCGGACGGCUGAGUAACGCGUGGGAACGGACCCCAAACUGAGGGAUAACUACUCGAAAGAGUGGCUAAUACCGCAUAUGAUCUUCGGAUUAAAGCUUUCGGGCGGUUUGGGACUGGCCUGCGUACGAUUAGAUAGUUGGUAGGGUAAUGGCCUACCAAGUCGACGAUCGUUAGAUGGUUUGAGAAGAUGAUCAUCCAGACUGGGACUGAGACACGGCCCAGACUCCUACGGGAGGCAGCAGUAGGGAAUCUUUCACAAUGGGCGAAAGCCUGAUGGAGCAACGCCGCGUGCAGGACGACGGCCUUCGGGUUGUAAACUGCUUUUAUAACCGAGAAAUAUGAUGGUAGGUUUUGAAUAAGGACCGGCUAACUACGUGCC